AUUGAACGCUGGCGGCAGGCCUAACACAUGCAAGUCGAACGCGAAAGCUCUUCGGAGUGAGUAGAGUGGCGGACGGGUGAGUAACACGUGGGAAUCUACCUCGUAGUGGGGGAUAACUUGUGGAAACGCAAGCUAAUACCGCAUACGUCCUGAGGGAGAAAGCAGGGGAUCUUCGGACCUUGUGCUAUGAGAUGAGCCCGCGUCGGAUUAGCUAGUUGGUGGGGUAAAGGCCUACCAAGGCGACGAUCCGUAGCUGGUCUGAGAGGAUGAUCAGCCACACUGGAACUGAGACACGGUCCAG
RNAcentral lists this ribosomal RNA (301 nucleotides) under uncultured Umboniibacter sp. RNAcentral describes it as "bacterial SSU rRNA". It matches the Rfam family "Bacterial small subunit ribosomal RNA", at positions 30 to 334 of the family's 1533-position model. The record is from RNAcentral. Lineage: Bacteria; Pseudomonadati; Pseudomonadota; Gammaproteobacteria; Cellvibrionales; Cellvibrionaceae.